CAAUAGCGUAUAUUUAAGUUGUUGCAGUUAAAAAGCUCGUAGUUGGAUUUCUGCCGAGGACGACCGGUCCGCCCUCUGGGUGUGUAUCUGGUUUGGCCUGGGCAUCUUCUUGGAGAACGUAGCUGCACUUGACUGUGUGGUGCGGUGUCCAGGACUUUUACUUUGAGGAAAUUAGAGUGUUUCAAGCAGGCACACGCCUUGAAUACAUUAGCAUGGAAUAAUAAGAUAGGACCUCGGUUCUAUUUUGUUGGUUUCUAGAGCUGAGGUAAUGAUUAAUAGGGAUAGUUGGGGGCAUUCGUAUUUAACUGUCAGAGGUGAAAUUCUUGGAUUUGUUAAAGACGGACUACUGCGAAANCANNNGCCAAGGAUGUUUUCAUNGA
Molecule: ribosomal RNA, 380 nt
Filed under: uncultured eukaryote
Lineage: Eukaryota
Description: partial 18S ribosomal RNA
Rfam family: Eukaryotic small subunit ribosomal RNA
Source: RNAcentral